AUUGAACGCUGGCGGCAUGCCUUACACAUGCAAGUCGAACGGUAACGCGGGGCAACCUGGCGACGAGUGGCGAACGGGUGAGUAAUGCAUCGGAACGUGCCCAGAAGUGGGGGAUAGCCCGGCGAAAGCCGGAUUAAUACCGCAUGAGACCUGAGGGUGAAAGCGGGGGAUCGCAAGACCUCGCGCUUUUGGAGCGGCCGAUGUCAGAUUAGCUAGUUGGUGGGGUAAAGGCCUACCAAGGCGACGAUCUGUAGCUGGUCUGAGAGGACGACCAGCCACAGUGGGACAGGAACACGCCCAGACCCCCAAGGGGGGACGCAGGGGGGGAGUUUGGAAAAAGGGCGUGAGCCUGGACCCCGCCAUGCGGGGGGCGGAAAGAGGCCUUUGGGUUGUAAAACGGUUUUUGACGGGGAAAAAACGUUCGGGGCUAAUACCGUGGGGAAAUAGGGUACCCGAAAAAAAAGACCCGGACAAACAAGGUC
Molecule: ribosomal RNA, 482 nt
Filed under: uncultured bacterium
Lineage: Bacteria
Description: partial 16S ribosomal RNA
Rfam family: Bacterial small subunit ribosomal RNA
Source: RNAcentral